AGACGGUGCUCCUCCUAUAAAUAGGUGUGCUGCUGCCCGGCAUACUAGUUGCCACAUCUGUCGAUAUGAUAUACCACGCUGGAAAGAACAGAGAGAGGUUACAUAUGUCUCUGAGAGAAAAGAGAGUGUAAAAGUGUGAAUUUCACCCCUACGAUUCCCGAGUUGCGCAGCAGAAGAGUUCGUCGAUCGGAGAUUAGGCUGGACCAGCGGGUGGGAAGCGAAGUAGAGAAACUAGUUGUAUUCUUUUGUAAAUGUAAAAGAAAUAUCUAAAGAUGUUGUAUGUGAGCUUCUCGUGAUC
Non-coding RNA from Lolium perenne, 298 nucleotides. The record is from RefSeq and is a predicted model, not a curated record. NCBI's taxonomy places the organism in Eukaryota, Viridiplantae, Streptophyta, Magnoliopsida, Poales, Poaceae.